This is a long non-coding RNA of Sphaerodactylus townsendi, 2070 nucleotides long. RefSeq lists it as uncharacterized. NCBI's taxonomy places the organism in Eukaryota, Metazoa, Chordata, Lepidosauria, Squamata, Sphaerodactylidae. The transcript is spliced from 2 exons. The record is from RefSeq and is a predicted model, not a curated record.
CCGUGGGGGGGCCAUGGGGGACGGAAAAUUAGAAUGCACACUGGCGCAGUUUAGCCCAGCUACGCCUCUGAUAGAAAUGGAUAGUAACUGUAGGUAGGAUUUUGUGGCAAGGUUCGUUUUCUGAUACAGAAAGUUUUGGGAGAAGGACCAUUCAUGGUGAGUCUGUUUUAGAUGAAGAGACUCAUGCAGAUGUAUACAUACACAAGCCAAAUCACAAUAGAAAGUGGCAUUUUUUUAUUCUAAAACUUUUUAUUUUUGAAGAACUGGCCGUUGCUUCGCCAGUUUUUGUAGCAUAAACAAUACACUAAAAUAUCUACCAUCAGGCUCUUUAAAGAGCAUCAAGCUUAAACACAGCUAAGUUUUUGCCUAUUCCUUCAUUUGGCAUUUUGUUUUAAUGCUAGGAGCAAGUUUUGAUGUUCACAGGUUGAAAAGUUGAAAAACUAUAAAGUUCACAAAAUCCUCAAGUUGAAAAAGUAGAAAAAUCCUACAUGCUGGUUUGCCUUUAUCCAGGAAUGGCUGCUGACUUUUCAGCACUUUUGUUAUCCAAGUCUUUUCACAGGGCUAACAAUCACUGCGGGAAAUAGGGCAGGCCCAGUUCUUCCUAACUCACAGGGGUGAACUUGGACACCAUGUGUGUUUGAGAGAGUCCAUGUUUAUGUCUUUGUAUAGGACAGGCACUGGAGGAUGGUAGAUUCAAGUUAUGCCAUUUAGAACCAAGCCUGUUGCCUUGUUUCCUUACCCAGUGGUGGUGGUGGUAGUUGGUAAUCAACGUCACUCCCAGAACCAUCACAAGCUUGGGCAAGUUGUGUAAAUGUUAGCAAAGACCUCAGGUUUUAUAUAACUUGCCUUCAUUGCUAUGCAAAUAUCUCAUGUGGAAGAGCUAUAGCUCAAGGACGCAGAUAAUGGGUAAAAUAGGCUCCAAGAGUCUGCAUGUUUUUUCCCAUUUAAGACAGACAUAAGCUGUUCAUUUUGAGCAGAAGUUCAAAAUGGUAGCAGUAGCAUCAUCACCAUCACUUGUUAGUCAUAGGCCAUACAAACAAUGUCAGAAAUUACACAUAGGAAUUACAUGAGAGAUUAAAACCAAUACUUAUACAGCAUAAGACAAAAUUAAAAUCAUAACAACGUUAGAACAGCAUCUUAUGAUUACGGCUUGCUUCUUUCUGAGCUUAAUUGAUAAGAACAUAAAAGAGACCACUUCCUGAAUGAUUUUAAGAAAACAAUUUAUUUUCCUUGCUAGUUUUCAGUUUCUCUAAUUUGUUUGUAAAAUAUCCAUUUCUGAUAUUGAGGUAUAGAGGGCAAGAUAUUACAUAAUGUAGGGCAUCCUCCAUCUGAAUGGAACCCACAAACAAAUACAUUGGGCGAUUGGCUUAUUUGCUUAUCUUCCAUUUAAAGAGUCAGAGGGAAAGCAUUGAAAUCUAAGGCUAGUAAAAGCCUUUCUUAGGUUUGCAUUUGUGAGAUUGUUAAGAUCGGGGGCCAGACAUUUGUGUUUCUUUACCCUGGAAAACCGGGGAGCAAAAUUUGAAGUUGCAGGACUUUCUUCAUCCACAAGGGCGUCCUUUUUCAAUAGUUGUUCUCAUAUUUUACUAACUUCCCAGUCCUUGAUACAAUCUAGGGAGGAUAUCUCACAGAGGUUUAAUAGUGUACGUAAUUGUUGUUCUCACAUAUUAGUUUGAUUUCCAUAACCUAAACGGUGCCUGGCUAGAUGUUCUUGAGACAGACCUGUUAAUCUUUUAUAGUGUAAGAGCAGCCUAAGAUGGAUUCCUGUUUUUAUUGCCGGAACACCAGUUUCUAAGCAUCGAAGUUGUACCGCUUGUACCCAUAGAUGAAAAUCCAGGGUUCGAUACUUGGGGAGGUUGUUUGUUUGAAGCAUCCUUAUUAGUUGCAGACCCCUGUUCUUGUUGGUCCAGUCUCAUUAUCAUAUCCUGUUGCUCAGAAGGCAAGUUUAGGUAAGAAUUUUUUACCGUGUCCUUCAAUAUUUCACAUCCCAUGAAGGAAAAGUAAUUCAGUUCAUUUUUAAAAUUGUUAUCGAUUUAUCUGAAUUGCAUAUUAAAUGGAUGCCAGUUUGCAAAA